This 436-nucleotide ribosomal RNA is filed under the name uncultured Treponema clone RFS22p. Its description in RNAcentral is "bacterial SSU rRNA". It matches the Rfam family "Bacterial small subunit ribosomal RNA", at positions 64 to 492 of the family's 1533-position model. The record is from RNAcentral. Lineage: Bacteria; Pseudomonadati; Spirochaetota; Spirochaetia; Treponematales; Treponemataceae.
GAGCGGCAAGGGGAGCAAUUCCCCUAGAGCGGCGGACUGGUGAGUAACGCGUGGGUGACUUACCNUAAGGUUGGGGAUAGCCAUUAGAAAUAGUGGGUAAUACCGAAUAUGGUUACGGGACUAUGGUUCUGUAAAGAAAGGGGCUUCGGCCCCGCCUUGGGAUGGGCCCGCGUCCCAUUAGCUUGUUGGUGAGGUAAGAGCCCACCAAGGCGAUGAUGGGUAGCCGGCCUGAGAGGGUGAACGGCCACACUGGGACUGAGAUACGGCCCAGACUCCUACGGGAGGCAGCAGCUAAGAAUAUUCCGCAAUGGACGAAAGUCUGACGGAGCGACGCCGCGUGGAUGACGAAGGCCGAAAGGUUGUAAAAUCCUUUUGUUACUGAAGAAUAAGCGUGGGAGGGAAUGCCCGCGUGAUGACGUUAGGUAACGAAUAAGCC